GGUUUUAUAGUGUAGUGGCUAGCACUCGGGAUUCUGACCACCGGACUGGUGCAGCAGUCCGUGACGAAUUCCCGCAACCCCGGUUCGAUCCCGGGUAAGACCU
RNAcentral lists this transfer RNA (103 nucleotides) under Macrophomina phaseolina MS6. RNAcentral's name for it is "tRNA-Gln". It matches the Rfam family "tRNA". Rfam says of the family: Transfer RNA (tRNA) molecules are approximately 80 nucleotides in length. Their secondary structure includes four short double-helical elements and three loops (D, anti-codon, and T loops). The record is from RNAcentral. Lineage: Eukaryota; Fungi; Ascomycota; Dothideomycetes; Botryosphaeriales; Botryosphaeriaceae.